Arachis stenosperma is the source of this 83-nucleotide small nucleolar RNA. RefSeq annotates it as small nucleolar RNA U54. The record is from RefSeq and is a predicted model, not a curated record. The transcript has a single exon. NCBI's taxonomy places the organism in Eukaryota, Viridiplantae, Streptophyta, Magnoliopsida, Fabales, Fabaceae.
UGCUCUGUGAUUUCUUGCAUACAUUGCAGUAUACGCUAUUCCGAUUUAACGUAUGAGUAGAAAUUUUAUUGCGUAUGAGAGCU